UACAAAAUACAAGUGUGUCGUAGGCUAC
Molecule: non-coding RNA, 28 nt
Filed under: Rattus norvegicus (Norway rat)
Lineage: Eukaryota; Metazoa; Chordata; Mammalia; Rodentia; Muridae
Source: RNAcentral